UGCAUGAGGAAAUGGCUAGUUAAUUCCCUG
RNAcentral lists this non-coding RNA (30 nucleotides) under Mus musculus (house mouse). Lineage: Eukaryota; Metazoa; Chordata; Mammalia; Rodentia; Muridae. The record is from RNAcentral.